Molecule: ribosomal RNA, 253 nt
Filed under: uncultured bacterium
Lineage: Bacteria
Description: partial 16S ribosomal RNA
Rfam family: Bacterial small subunit ribosomal RNA
Source: RNAcentral
UACGUAGGGACCAAGCGUUGUUCGGAUUUACUGGGCGUAAAGGGCGCGUAGGCGGUUUAACAAGUCACUUGUGAAAUCUCCGGGCUUAACCCAGAACGGCCAAGUGAAACUGUUGUGCUAGAGUGCAGAAGGGGCAAUCGGAAUUCUCGGUGUAGCGGUGAAAUGCGUAGAUAUCGAGAGGAACACCAGAGGUGAAGACGGGUUGCUGGGCUGACACUGACGCUGAGGCGCGAAAGCCAGGGGAGCAAACGGG